GGGAUUACCUUAGUAACGGCGAGUGAACUGGUAAAAGCUCAAAUUUGAAAUCUGAUCUAUAUCGGUCAGAGUUGUAAUUUGUAGAGGAUGUUUGUUUCCAUUCUGGAGUUUAAGUCUCUUGGAAAAGAGCAUCAUGGAGGGUGACAAUCCCGUAAAUGGCUCCAAGAUUUGGAAUUUAUCAAGCUGCUUCGAUGAGUCGAGUUGUUUGGGAAUGCAGCUCUAAAUGGGAGGUAAAUUUCUUCCAAGGCUAAAUAUUGGCUGGAGACCGAUAGCGAACAAGUAGAGUGAUCGAAAGAUGAAAAGUACUUUGGAAAGAGAGUUAAAUAGUGUGUGAAAUUGUUGAAAGGGAAGCAUUUACAAUCAGAGUUACAUUUUGGAGAUGGUCUUAUCACAAUUUUGUGCUAUGCCUCAAUUCUCCUUCAAUGUGUGUCAACAUCAAUUUGAGUAGUAAUAAAAGCUGGCUUGAAAUGUAGCUCUACGAGUGUUAUAAUCAAGUACUUCUCAUUGCUCAUUCAAAUUGAGGAACGCGUUUCGGCAAGGAUGUUGACUUAAUGGUUGUAAGUGGCCCGUCUUGAAACACGGACCAAGGAGUCUAACGUUUACGCAAGUGUUUGGGUGUAAAGCUCAGAUGCGUAAUGAAAGUGAAUGAAGGUGAGAAAAUUCUUAAGAAUUAGCAUCAUCGACCGAUCUUGCGAUUUAUCAAAGGAUUUGAGUAUGAGCGUAGCUGUUGGGACCCGAAAGAUGGUGAACUAUGCCUGCUUAGGCUGAAGUCAGGGGAAACCCUGAUGGAGGGUCGCAGCGGUUCUGACGUGCAAAUCGAUCGUCAAAAGUGGGUAUAGGGGCGAAAGACCAAUCGAACC
RNAcentral lists this ribosomal RNA (860 nucleotides) under Stigmatomyces limnophorae. RNAcentral describes it as "partial large subunit ribosomal RNA". It matches the Rfam family "Eukaryotic large subunit ribosomal RNA", at positions 71 to 941 of the family's 3401-position model. Lineage: Eukaryota; Fungi; Ascomycota; Laboulbeniomycetes; Laboulbeniales; Laboulbeniaceae. The record is from RNAcentral.